This 442-nucleotide ribosomal RNA is filed under the name uncultured bacterium. Its description in RNAcentral is "partial 16S ribosomal RNA". It matches the Rfam family "Bacterial small subunit ribosomal RNA", at positions 338 to 795 of the family's 1533-position model. The record is from RNAcentral.
CCUACGGGAGGCAGCAGUAGGGAAUCUUUCACAAUGGGCGAAAGCCUGAUGGAGCAACGCCGCGUGCAGGAUGAAGGCCUUCGGGUUGUAAACUGCUUUUAUAAGCGAGAAAUAUGAUGGUAACUUAUGAAUAAGGAUCGGCUAACUACGUGCCAGCAGCCGCGGUCAUACGUAGGAUCCGAGCAUUAUCCGGAGUGACUGGGUGUAAAGAGUUGCGUAGGUGGCAUAAUAAGUAGCUAGUGAAAUCUGGUGGCUCAACCAUUCAGACUAUUAGCUAAACUGUUAAGCUCGAGACCGUUAGGAGUAACUGGAAUGUCUGGUGUAGGGGUGAAAUCCAUAGAUAUUAGAAGGAACACCAAUAGCGUAGGCAGGUUGCUGGGACGGUUCUGACACUAAGGCACGAAAGCGUAGGGAGCAAACGGGAUUAGAUACCCCAGUAGUC